UCAAGUGGUCGGGAUAAUUAUUGGGCUUAAAGUGUCCGUAGCCGGUUUAGUAAGUUCCUGGUAAAAUCGGGUAGCUUAACUAUCUAUAUGCUAGGAAUACUACUAUACUAGAGGGCGGGAGAGGUCUGAGGUACUACAGGGGUAGGGGUGAAAUCUUAUAAUCCUUGUUAGACCACACAGUGGCGAAGGCGUCAGACUGGAACGCGCCUGACGGUGAGGGACGAAAGCCAGGGGAGCGAACCGGAUUAGAUACCCGGGUAGUCCUGGCCGUAAACGAUGCAUACUAGGUGAUGGCACGGCCAUGAGCCGUGUCAGUGCCGUAGGGAAACCGUUAAGUGUGCCGCCUGGAA
Molecule: ribosomal RNA, 350 nt
Filed under: uncultured archaeon
Lineage: Archaea
Description: bacterial SSU rRNA
Rfam family: Archaeal small subunit ribosomal RNA
Source: RNAcentral